UACGAAGGGUGCAAGCGUUACUCGGAAUUACUGGGCGUAAAGGGCGCGUAGGUGGUUGUUUAAGUCUGUUGUGAAAGCCCCCGGCUCAACUGGGGAGGGUCACGCGAUACUGCUCGACUCGAAGGCAGGAGAGGGAAGUGGAAUUCCCGGUGUAGUGGUGAAAUGCGUAGAUAUCGGGAGGAACACCAGUGGCGAAGGCGACUUCCUGGCCUGUUCUUGACGCUGAGGCGCGAAAGCUAGGGUAGCAAACGGG
RNAcentral lists this ribosomal RNA (253 nucleotides) under uncultured bacterium. RNAcentral describes it as "partial 16S ribosomal RNA". It matches the Rfam family "Bacterial small subunit ribosomal RNA", at positions 524 to 776 of the family's 1533-position model. The record is from RNAcentral.